AUCCUUUUGUGGUUCAUAAGCGUGAUGCAUGAGCCUGCACACGACUGUGUGACAAGUGCCUCCCUCCAACCUUGUUACGACUUCGGCACAUUACCCAUCUGACC
Small nucleolar RNA from Ochotona princeps (American pika), 104 nucleotides. Lineage: Eukaryota; Metazoa; Chordata; Mammalia; Lagomorpha; Ochotonidae. The record is from Ensembl.